GACGAACGCUGGCGGCGUGCUUAACACAUGCAAGUCGAACGAAGUGGCGAACGGGUGAGUAACGCGUAAUCAACCUGCCCUUCUGCGGGGGACAACAGUUGGAAACGACUGCUAAUACCGCAUACUGAAGGAGGGGAUUGCGUCUGAUUAGCUAGUUGGAGGGGUAACGGCCCACCAAGGCGAUGAUCAGUAGCAGGUCUGAGAGGAUGAUCGGCAACAUUGGGACUGAGAGCCGGCCCAGAAUCCUACGGGAGGCAGGAGUGGGGAAUCUUCCGUAAUGGACGAAAGGCUGACGGAGCAACGCGGCGUGAGCGAUGACGGCCACCGGGUUGUAAAGAGCUGUUAAUCGGGACGCGGGACCGGAAGAGAAAGCCAAAGCUCAAUACGUGCCAGCAGCCGCGGUAAUUC
RNAcentral lists this ribosomal RNA (408 nucleotides) under uncultured bacterium. Its description in RNAcentral is "partial 16S ribosomal RNA". It matches the Rfam family "Bacterial small subunit ribosomal RNA", at positions 28 to 526 of the family's 1533-position model. The record is from RNAcentral.